GAUGAACGCUGGCGGCGUGCCUAAUACAUGCAAGUCGAGCGAACAGACGAGGAGCUUGCUCCUCUGACGUUAGCGGCGGACGGGUGAGUAACACGUGGAUAACCUACCUAUAAGACUGGGAUAACUUCGGGAAACCGGAGCUAAUACCGGAUAAUAUAUUGAACCGCAUGGUUCAAUAGUGAAAGACGGUUUUGCUGUCACUUAUAGAUGGAUCCGCGCCGCAUUAGCUAGUUGGUAAGGUAACGGCUUACCAAGGCAACGAUGCGUAGCCGACCUGAGAGGGGGAUCGGCCACACUGGAAAUAAGCCACGGGCCAGACUACUAGGGGCGGCAGAAGUAGGGAAUCGUCCGCAAUGGGCGAAAGCCUGAGGGAGCAACGCCGCGUGAGUGAAGAAGGUCUUAGGAUCGUAAAACUCUGUUAUUAGGGAAGAACAAAUGUGUAAGUAACUAUGCACGUCUUGACGGUACCUAAUCAGAAAGCCACGGCUAACUACG
RNAcentral lists this ribosomal RNA (495 nucleotides) under uncultured bacterium. RNAcentral's name for it is "partial 16S ribosomal RNA". It matches the Rfam family "Bacterial small subunit ribosomal RNA", at positions 28 to 505 of the family's 1533-position model. The record is from RNAcentral.